UACGAAGGGUGCAAGCGUUGUUCGGAUUUAUUGGGCGUAAAGCGCGCGUAGGCGGACCUGCAAGUCAGAUGUGAAAUCUCGGGGCUCAACCUCGAAACUGCGUCUGAAACUACAGGUCUAGAAUCUUGGAGGGGGAAGGGGAAUUUCUCAUGUAGGGGUAAAAUCCGUAGAUAUGAGAAGGAACACCAGAGGCGAAGGCGCCUUCCUGGACGAA
This 214-nucleotide ribosomal RNA is filed under the name uncultured bacterium. RNAcentral describes it as "partial 16S ribosomal RNA". It matches the Rfam family "Bacterial small subunit ribosomal RNA", at positions 524 to 737 of the family's 1533-position model. The record is from RNAcentral.